Molecule: ribosomal RNA, 487 nt
Filed under: uncultured bacterium
Lineage: Bacteria
Description: bacterial SSU rRNA
Rfam family: Bacterial small subunit ribosomal RNA
Source: RNAcentral
GAUGAACGCUAGCGACAGGCCUAACACAUGCAAGUCGAGGGGCAGCACAUGAGUAGCAAUACGAUGGUGGCGACCGGCGCACGGGUGAGUAACACGUAUGCAACCUGCCUGUAAGAGGGGGAUAACCCGGAGAAAUUCGGACUAAUACCGCAUAAUACCACGAGACUGCAUGGUUUUGUGGUUAAACAUUUAUGGCUUACAGAUGGGCAUGCGUAUGAUUAGAUAGUUGGUAGGGUAACGGCCUACCAAGUCUACGAUCAUUAGGGGUUCUGAGAGGAAGGUCCCCCACACUGGUACUGAGACACGGACCAGACUCCUACGGGAGGCAGCAGUGAGGAAUAUUGGUCAAUGGGCGAGAGCCUGAACCAGCCAAGUCGCGUGAAGGAAGAAGGUUCUAUGGAUUGUAAACUUCUUUUGCAGGGGAAUAAAGGACGAUACGUGUACUGUUUUGUAUGUACCUUGCGAAUAAGGAUCGGCUAACUCCGUG